GGAGUUGGCCAGGCAACCGCUGUGUGGGAAACCACAUGGAGGAAAGUCCGGGCUCCAUAGGGCAGGGUGCCAGGUAACGCCUGGGCGCUAUAAGUCGGAGACGCAAGUCUUCGGCCCAAGGCGACGGAAAGUGCAACAGAAAAUACACCGCCGAUGGCUCAGCAAUGAGAUCAGGUAAGGUUGAAAUGGCGAGGUAAGAGCUCACCGCGGACGUGGCAACACGGACGGCACGGCAAACCCCACCCGGAGCAAGGCCAAAUAGGCAGGCGCGUCUUAGGACAUCGGUGGCCCGCCGAGCCUGCGGGUAGGCUGCUAGAGGCGACGGGUGAUCGUCGUCCCAGAUGAAUGGUUGCCCACGACAAAACCCGGCUUAUCGGCCAACUCCACCU
This 389-nucleotide RNase P RNA is filed under the name Pseudomonadota bacterium. Its description in RNAcentral is "RNase P RNA component class A". It matches the Rfam family "Bacterial RNase P class A". From Rfam's summary of the family: Ribonuclease P (RNase P) is a ubiquitous endoribonuclease, found in archaea, bacteria and eukarya as well as chloroplasts and mitochondria. The record is from RNAcentral. Lineage: Bacteria; Pseudomonadati; Pseudomonadota.